GAACUACUGUAACAGUUCAGUGUGUUAUAGUGUCUCUAGGAGGUGAACUACUGUAACAGUUCAGUGUGUUAUAGUGUCUCUAGGAGGUGAACAACUGUAAUAGUUCAUUGUGUUAUAGUGUCACCAUCCAGGAGGUGAACUACUGAAAAGUUCAGUGUGUUAUAGUGUCACUAGCAUGUGAACUACUGUAACAGUUAAGUGUGUAAUAGUGUCACCAUCCAGGAGGUGAACUACUACAACAGUUCAGUGUGUUAUAGUGUCUCACUCUACAUGGUGAACUACUGUAACAGUACAGUGUGUUAUAGUGUCACUAGGAGGUGAACUACUGUAACAGUUCAGUGUGUUUUAGUGAGUUUGUUAUAGUGUCACUAUCUAGGAGGUGAACCAUUAUAACAGUUCAGUGUGUUAUAGUGUCUCUAUCUAGGAGGUGAACUACUGUAACAGUUCAGUGUGUUAUAGUGUCUCUAGGAGGUGAACUACUGUAACAGCUCAGUGUGUUAUAGUGUCUCUUGUAGGUGAACUACUGUAACAGUUCAGUGUGUUAUAGUGUAUCUUGGAGGUGAACUACUGUAACAGUUCAGUGUGUUAUAGUG
Molecule: long non-coding RNA, 593 nt
Filed under: Salmo salar (Atlantic salmon)
Lineage: Eukaryota; Metazoa; Chordata; Actinopteri; Salmoniformes; Salmonidae
Description: lncRNA (ENSSSAG00000103059.1)
Source: RNAcentral